CCUACGGGAGGCAGCAGUAGGGAAUAUUGCGCAAUGGGGGAAACCCUGACGCAGCAACGCCGCGUGAAGGAUGAAGGUUUUCGGAUUGUAAACUCCUUUUAUUGGAGAAGAUAAUGACGGUAUCUCACGAAUAAUCACCGGCUAACUCCGUGCCAGCAGCCGCGGUAAUACGACGGGUGCAAGCGUUACUCGUAUGCACGGGGCGUAAUGAGGGGGGAGGCGGGAUAGCAAGUCAGAUGUGAAAUCCUAGGGCUUAACCAAAGAACUGCAUUUGAAACUGUUAUUCUAGAGUAUGGGAGAGGUAGGUGGAAUUCUUGGUGUAGGGGUAAAAUGCGUAGAGAUUAAGAGGAACACUCAUUGCGAAGGCGACUUGCUAGAACAUAACUGACGCUGAUGCGCGAAAGCGUGGGGAGCAAACAGGAUUAGAUACCCGAGUAGUC
RNAcentral lists this ribosomal RNA (440 nucleotides) under uncultured bacterium. Its description in RNAcentral is "partial 16S ribosomal RNA". It matches the Rfam family "Bacterial small subunit ribosomal RNA", at positions 338 to 795 of the family's 1533-position model. The record is from RNAcentral.